AUCGAACAUACACGGAACCGAGGCGUUAAAAUAUAUACAUAUACGCGUUGAAUUUAAAUUUAAAAACAUGUAUUUUCGCCGCAUAUUAUAAGUUUUUAAAGUCUGUUAAAACAGUUUUUAUAGUUUAUUUAAAUACUUUCGAGAUAAAUACACGGUAUUCGCACCGCUUUCAUUCUACAAAAAGAUAUUGGGAAUAUCUGUUUAGGUAAAUAAUAUUAUUAUAACGAUGUUUAAAAAAAGUAAGUAUACCAAGAUGUGUUCACGUCACAACGCGCGGCGAAGAUGCGUAAACUGGUUCGGGUCGCACGGACUCCGUAUCGUCUAUUCCAAACUCUUCCGUAUUAUGCAAAUCAAUUAUUUGUGUUUUAAUUGUUAAUGAAAUCAUUGUUGUUUCUUUUUUUUCUUUAUCUAUACUCUACAUAAG
Cinara cedri is the source of this 424-nucleotide non-coding RNA. NCBI's taxonomy places the organism in Eukaryota, Metazoa, Arthropoda, Insecta, Hemiptera, Aphididae. The record is from the annotation of a GenBank genome assembly.